Molecule: ribosomal RNA, 484 nt
Filed under: uncultured Pseudomonadota bacterium
Lineage: Bacteria; Pseudomonadati; Pseudomonadota
Description: bacterial SSU rRNA
Rfam family: Bacterial small subunit ribosomal RNA
Source: RNAcentral
UGGGGAAUUUUGGACAAUGGGCGCAAGCCUGAUCCAGCCAUGCCGCGUGUGUGAAGAAGGCCUUCGGGUUGUAAAGCACUUUCGGCCGGAACGAAAUCGCCUUUGUUAAUAGCGAAGGUGGAUGACGGUACCGGAAGAAGAAGCACCGGCUAACUACGUGCCAGCAGCCGCGGUAAUACGUAGGGUGCGAGCGUUAAUCGGAAUUACUGGGCGUAAAGGGUGCGCAGGCGGCCCCGCAAGUCAGGCGUGAAAUCCCCGGGCUUAACCUGGGAAUGGCGCUUGAAACUACGGGGCUGGAGUAUGGCAGAGGGAGGUGGAAUUCCACGUGUAGCGGUGAAAUGCGUAGAGAUGUGGAGGAACACCGAUGGGCGAAGGCAGCCUCCUGGGCCAAUACUGACGCUCAUGCACGAAAGCGUGGGGAGCAAACAGGAUUAGAUACCCUGGUACGUCCACGCCCUAAACGAUGAUGACUAGUUGUUGGAGG